GUGAACGCUGGCGGUAGGCCUAACACAUGCAAGUCGAACGGCAGCACAGUAAGAGCUUGCUCUUACGGGUGGCGAGUGGCGGACGGGUGAGGAAUACAUCGGAAUCUACUUUUUCGUGGGGGAUAACGUAGGGAAACUUACGCUAAUACCGCAUACGACCUACGGGUGGAAGCAGGGGAUCUUCGGACCUUGCGCGAUUGAAUGAGCCGAUGUCGGAUUAGCUAGUUGGCGGGGUAAAGGCCCACCAAGGCGACGAUCCGUAGCUGGUCUGAGAGGAUGAUCAGCCACACUGGAACUGAGACACGGUCCAGACUCCUACGGGAGGCAGCAGUGGGGAAUAUUGGACAAUGGGCGCAAGCCUGAUCCAGCCAUACCGCGUGGGUGAAGAAGGCCUUCGGGUUGUAAAGCCCUUUUGUUGGGAAAGAAAAGCAGCAGGUUAAUACCCCGCUGUUCUGACGGUACCCAAAGAAUAAGCACCGGCUAACUUCGUG
This 491-nucleotide ribosomal RNA is filed under the name uncultured bacterium. RNAcentral's name for it is "partial 16S ribosomal RNA". It matches the Rfam family "Bacterial small subunit ribosomal RNA", at positions 29 to 507 of the family's 1533-position model. The record is from RNAcentral.